RNAcentral lists this long non-coding RNA (681 nucleotides) under Physcomitrium patens. RNAcentral describes it as "long non-coding RNA (PPAT_LNC009256)". Lineage: Eukaryota; Viridiplantae; Streptophyta; Bryopsida; Funariales; Funariaceae. The record is from RNAcentral.
ACAUCUCUUGGAGCUCUAGCUCACCUCUCUGGUGUUCUUCUCAUCUGAUUAAUCUAGUUCUUGCGAGUUCUUCUUGAAUUUUUUGUUAGAUCUUGAGUCUAUAUUUUUGUGUCCGUGAGAGUUUGUCGAGACUACACUUACCUCAGAUAUCAGAGCUAGUUUCUUCUUUGUUGGAGUGUGGAUUACCUCUCUGCUUGGAAGUGUACUAGCACUUUAGAGGUUGCGGAUUACCCUCCUCUAAGCUGAUACAUCUUUUGUUACAAUAUUGGAGUCUUAUUUUUCUUGGAGAGAGUGGAUUACCCCUUUUUUUGAAGCUCUUAAGGCAUUUUAGAGGUUGCGGAGUACCCUCCUCUAAACCAAUAUUGUCUUCUUGUAGAAUCAUUUCUAUCCUUCUUUUAGAAUGGUCGGGGGCCAAGACAUUAGUAUGAUAGAAAGUUCAGAGUCCAAGUUAGAUGCUAUCAUGAAUGCCCUCGCUAUGUUAUCACAAAGAACUGCAGAGAUUGAAGGAGUCGUGGCAAGGCUUCAUAAUGAUGGAGCAUCUGGGAUGGUACAAUCUAGGUUGCAUCAGCCUCAAACUUCUACACUUGGAGAAGCAACUUUACCUCAAGUUCGACAAGCACCGCUGGUUCUACAACAUAAGGAACCCCAAGUUAGCCUUUCGGACAAGUUCGAUGGUACACG